AGAGUUUGAUCAUGGCUCAGAACGAACGCUGGCGGCAGGCUUAACACAUGCAAGUCGAACGCCCCGCAAGGGGAGUGGCAGACGGGUGAGUAACACGUGGGAACAUGCCCAAAGGUACGGAACAACUCCGGGAAACUGGAGCUAAUACCGUAUGUGCCCGAGAGGGGAAAGAUUUAUCGCCUUUGGAUUGGCCCGCGUUGGAUUAGCUAGUUGGUGGGGUAAAAGCCUACCAAGGCGACGAUCCAUAGCUGGUCUGAGAGGACGACCAGCCACACUGGGACUGAGACACGGCCCAGACUCCUACGGGAGGCAGCAGUGGGGAAUCUUGGACAAUGGGCGCAAGCCUGAUCCAGCCAUGCCGCGUGGAUGAUGAAGGCCCUAGGGUUGUAAAAUCCUUUCGUUGGGGACGAUAAUGACGGUACCCAAAGAAGAGUC
RNAcentral lists this ribosomal RNA (435 nucleotides) under uncultured Parvibaculum sp. RNAcentral's name for it is "bacterial SSU rRNA". It matches the Rfam family "Bacterial small subunit ribosomal RNA", at positions 8 to 491 of the family's 1533-position model. Lineage: Bacteria; Pseudomonadati; Pseudomonadota; Alphaproteobacteria; Hyphomicrobiales; Parvibaculaceae. The record is from RNAcentral.